UACGUAGGGGGCGAGCGUUAAUCGGAAUUACUGGGCGUAAAGCGUGCGCAGGCGGUGAUGUAAGACCGAUGUGAAAUCCCCGGGCUUAACCUGGGAACUGCAUUGGUGACUGCAUUGCUGGAGUAUGGCAGAGGGGGGUGGAAUUCCACGUGUAGCAGUGAAAUGCGUAGAGAUGUGGAGGAACACCGAUGGCGAAGGCAGCCCCCUGGGCCAAUACUGACGCUCAUGCACGAAAGCGUGGGGAGCAAACAGG
This 253-nucleotide ribosomal RNA is filed under the name uncultured bacterium. Its description in RNAcentral is "partial 16S ribosomal RNA". It matches the Rfam family "Bacterial small subunit ribosomal RNA", at positions 524 to 776 of the family's 1533-position model. The record is from RNAcentral.